AACGUAGGUGGCGAGCGUUAUCCGGAUUCAUUGGGCGUAAAGAGCUUGUAGGUGGCUUGAUAAGUUGGACGUGAAAACUCCGGGCUUAACUUGGAGAGGCCGUUCAAUACUGUCCGGCUGGAGGGUGUCAGAGGGAAGUAGAAUUCCUGGUGUAGCAGUGAAAUGCGUAGAUAUCAGGAGGAAUACCCGUGGCGCAGGCGGCUUCCUGGGGCACACCUGACACUGAGAAGCGACAGCUAGGGGAGCAAACGGG
Molecule: ribosomal RNA, 253 nt
Filed under: uncultured prokaryote
Description: partial 16S ribosomal RNA
Rfam family: Bacterial small subunit ribosomal RNA
Source: RNAcentral